Molecule: ribosomal RNA, 292 nt
Filed under: uncultured Alphaproteobacteria bacterium
Lineage: Bacteria; Pseudomonadati; Pseudomonadota; Alphaproteobacteria
Description: partial 16S ribosomal RNA
Source: RNAcentral
GGACUACAAGGGUAUCUAAUCCUGUUUGCUCCCCACGCUUUCGCACCUCAGCGUCAGUAUCGGACCAGUGAGCCGCCUUCGCCACUGGUGUUCUUCCCAAUCUCUACGAAUUUCACCUCUACACUGGGAAUUCCACUCACCUCUUCCGAACUCAAGCCAAGCAGUCUUGAAGGCAAUUCCGAGGUUGAGCCUCGGGAUUUCACCCCCAACUUACCAAGCCGCCUACGUGCGCUUUACGCCCAGUAAUUCCGAACAACGCUAGCCCCCUUCGUAUUACCGCGGCUGCUGGCAC